RNAcentral lists this ribosomal RNA (292 nucleotides) under uncultured bacterium. RNAcentral's name for it is "partial 16S ribosomal RNA". It matches the Rfam family "Bacterial small subunit ribosomal RNA", at positions 505 to 796 of the family's 1533-position model. The record is from RNAcentral.
GUGCCAGCUCGCCGCGGUAAUACGGAGGGUGCAAGCGUUGUCCGGAAUCACUGGGCGUAAAGGGUGCGCAGGCGGGGCAGCAAGUCGGAGGUGAAAGCCCGUGGCUCAACCACGGAAGCGCCUUCGAUACUGCUGCUCUUGAGUCCCGGAGAGGCUGUCGGAAUUCGGGGUGUAGCGGUGAAAUGCGUAGAUAUCACGAGGAACACCAGAGGCGAAAGCGGACAGCUGGACGGGUACUGACGCUCAGGCACGAAAGCGUGGGGAGCAAACAGGAUUAGAUACCGAGUAGUCC